This is a long non-coding RNA of Rhipicephalus sanguineus (brown dog tick), 1035 nucleotides long. RefSeq lists it as uncharacterized. Lineage: Eukaryota; Metazoa; Arthropoda; Arachnida; Ixodida; Ixodidae. The record is from RefSeq and is a predicted model, not a curated record. The transcript is spliced from 3 exons.
CAGCCGCUUCAAAGCAAAGAUCCCGUGCCAUGAAUAUCUGGCCGAUUGCCCUGAAGUGGUGAACGGCGACUACCGAAUCCAGGAGAGAGGUUACGAGGCAAUGAGCAACAUUGUUUGCGAUAGUAAGAUUCUCAAAGACUUUCACGUCGGAUACCAUUGGCUGGAUCAGAAGAAGAUGGACGAAUGCGCAAAGCGAUGUCGCCGGCAGCGGAUCCACGGAAUCCUCGCGUGAUAGUUGACAAUGAAGACUACUGCCGCCUACGCAACAUAGAGAUUGCCUGCUUCGAGCAAGCAUUGAACUCGUCCUGCCCGCUGCCGUUGAAGACGGCCAAGACAGCGCUGACCAGAGUUUUGGAUGCCAUAUCACAACUCGCAGGCUGCCCGUCAUCUGCACACGCUGCCAUGGCUUCUAAGGGAUUUAUUGUUCUCCUGGUUACUCCCGUUAUCCUGAGUUGGUUGAGAACGUGACCAGCCAACUGAAGAACAGAAAAAUGAGCUAAAUUUAGCAUUGGCCACGCCGCAGGUUUUCAAUGGCUCCCUGAAUUUUACCAUCUUUCCAGGAAGCCUGAAACCCGUAGCGCUAUGGCCGUGCUGUUGUAGAGAUUCAGGGUAACACGCAUAGGUUUGAAGCAGUUUCAACACUUCGAUCUGUCAGAUUCGUUCGAGCGAACAAGGCAAGGAGGCUGUCAUUCAUCAUUCGUAUCACAGAUUAAAAAUACUAUCAAAUCACCGCAUACAAAGGACUAGCAUGAUAUGGACUCGAAUAUGCACGUUCCAUGUGGGAUCCAUGGCCGGCUGAAGCUGUGCAGUGGCUUAUAUCACAACCAUUACGUUAUCAUUUGCACAUAACACGAUCAUAUAUUUUCUUUUUUCUUUCUCCCUUGCUGCCCUCCUUCCUCUUAGGGCCUUUCAGUCCUCAAUCAUCUUCCCUAUACAGAGUAGCACGUAGACGCCUUCAUGCGCCGGCAGAGUUCUCUGUUCUUCAAUAAAGAGCUUUCUCUCUCUCUCUCUCUCCGUGACGAACAUGUUCGAUUC